AAGGUGUAGUGGUUAUCACGUUUCGUUUACAGCAGCCGUCCAGCCCCUGUGCCGAAAAGGUCCCGCGUUCAAUCCGCGGCAGGAUCA
Elasticomyces elasticus is the source of this 87-nucleotide non-coding RNA. Lineage: Eukaryota; Fungi; Ascomycota; Dothideomycetes; Mycosphaerellales; Teratosphaeriaceae. The record is from the annotation of a GenBank genome assembly.